GGGGUUGUGGCUCAGUGGUAGAGCGUUCACCUAGCAUGUGUGAGGCCCUGGGUUAGAACCUCAGGACCACA
Molecule: transfer RNA, 71 nt
Filed under: Marmota monax (woodchuck)
Lineage: Eukaryota; Metazoa; Chordata; Mammalia; Rodentia; Sciuridae
Rfam family: tRNA
About the family: Transfer RNA (tRNA) molecules are approximately 80 nucleotides in length. Their secondary structure includes four short double-helical elements and three loops (D, anti-codon, and T loops).
Source: Rfam by way of RNAcentral